This 1190-nucleotide long non-coding RNA is filed under the name Androctonus crassicauda. The record is from RNAcentral. Lineage: Eukaryota; Metazoa; Arthropoda; Arachnida; Scorpiones; Buthidae.
UAUUGUUUUGAUAAACAUACCUCCUGCCUAAUAUGAUCGAAUAUCGAUCAUUUUUAAUAAUAAUGAUUCUCUAGAAGAUUCCAUUAUUGUGUAUAUAUUUCAUUUAGAUUGGAUAAUAUUUAUUCGAGAUAUUGGCCAAAAAAUUUGUGUAAUACAAUAUGUUAAUGGUUAUUCAUCUGAUAAUAUUGAUCCGAUAUUGGCCAUUUUUAAUAGAAUUGAUCCUCGAGUAUGACCUAAUAACAGACGAAUUUCAACCAAAUCAGAUAAUAGCUAACCUGUGAUAUCUUGCUGAUAAAAGGACGGACAGAUGGAUAAACAAAUCUAAUUAUUGUAUAUAUUAAUUAGAUUCCUUUUAUUCCAUUUAGGAAUGGAAAGAUCAAAAAAGGACGAAUGGCAACUUGCUUAUAUCAAUGUAUACAGGAUCACGUUUACUAUUAGAGGAAAGUGCCCAAAACCGGAUCCUCAUUUUGUUUUUGAUUUAAAAAAAAUAGAAAAUAGUAAAAAAAAAUAUGUUUUAAAAGCAUGUAAUAUUUACUUUAUAAUGUUAUGCACCAUUUACAUUUUACUUUUAGAACAUAUAAUUAAAAGUUAGUAUAAAAAAAAUUUUCAAAAACUUUACACUUUGGCGAUUUGAAAAAUAGUUCCGAAACCGGACCCCUUGUAAAAAUAAUCAAAAUAAGACUAGACAAAAUUAGAAAAGGGUAUUAAAUCAGAGAAAACAUAUUCUAGUUUCAAAGUAUAAGUGUAAUAUAACAAUUACAAGUUUUACUUUUUAAAUAAAGAUACAGAAUGUAUUCCAAAAGAUACAGAAAAUGUAUAACCAAAUUAAAUUGUUUAGUGACAAAAAUCGCAAAUGUACACGUUCUUUUUAGCCCCAGCACAAUCUUCAAUAGAAUUCCAAGAGAAUAAGAAUGUAUACAAAUACAGACAGACUUUAUACAUGAAAAAAUAAGGGGUCUGGUUUAGGCAACUGAAGGGGAUCCGGUUUGCAUGACUAUAGCCUACAUUUUUUUAACCUAAAAUCUAAAUUAAACAGUUUAAUGAUAAACAUUAACCUUAAACCUUAUCAUUUAAGAAUAUAUAUAUGUCGAAAGGCUUAUCUACAAUAUCUAGAAGAAAUAACGAAAAAUGUAGCACAUUGUAAAAACUUUUUCCAAUGCCAAAACACUUAAUGGCGGACUGAUAAGCAA